GACGAACGCUGGCGGCGUGCUUAACACAUGCAAGUCGAACGGAAAGGCCCUGCUUUUGUGGGGUGCUCGAGUGGCGAACGGGUGAGUAACACGUGAGUAACCUGCCCUUGACUUUGGGAUAACUUCAGGAAACUGGGGCUAAUACCGGAUAGGAGCUCCUGCUGCAUGGUGGGGGUUGGAAAGUUUCGGCGGUUGGGGAUGGACUCGCGGCUUAUCAGCUUGAUGGUGGGGUAGUGGCUUACCAAGGCUUUGACGGGUAGCCGGCCUGAGAGGGUGACCGGCCACAUUGGGACUGAGAUACGGCCCAGACUCCUACGGGAGGCAGCAGUGGGGAAUAUUGCACAAUGGGCGGAAGCCUGAUGCAGCAACGCCGCGUGCGGGACGACGGCCUUCGGGUUGUAAACCGCUUUCGCCUGUGACGAAGCGUGAGUGACGGUAAUGGGUAAAGAAGCACCGGCUAACUACGUG
Molecule: ribosomal RNA, 468 nt
Filed under: uncultured bacterium
Lineage: Bacteria
Description: partial 16S ribosomal RNA
Rfam family: Bacterial small subunit ribosomal RNA
Source: RNAcentral